This 74-nucleotide transfer RNA is filed under the name Pirellula sp. SH-Sr6A. Its description in RNAcentral is "tRNA-Asn". It matches the Rfam family "tRNA". From Rfam's summary of the family: Transfer RNA (tRNA) molecules are approximately 80 nucleotides in length. Their secondary structure includes four short double-helical elements and three loops (D, anti-codon, and T loops). Further hydrogen bonds mediate the characteristic L-shaped molecular structure. tRNAs have two regions of fundamental functional importance: the anti-codon, which is responsible for specific mRNA codon recognition, and the 3' end, to which the tRNAs corresponding amino acid is attached (by aminoacyl-tRNA synthetases). tRNAs cope with the degeneracy of the genetic code in two manners: having more than one tRNA (with a specific anti-codon) for a particular amino acid; and 'wobble' base-pairing, i.e. permitting non-standard base-pairing at the 3rd anti-codon position. Lineage: Bacteria; Pseudomonadati; Planctomycetota; Planctomycetia; Pirellulales; Pirellulaceae. The record is from RNAcentral.
UCCCCUGUAGCUCAGUCGGCAGAGCAGCGGACUGUUAAUCCGCGUGUCGGUGGUUCGAGCCCACCCGGGGGAGC